UCAACUUGAGAGUUUGAUCCUGGCUCAGAACGAACGCUGGCGGCAGGCUUAACACAUGCAAGUCGAACGCCCCGCAAGGGGAGUGGCAGACGGGUGAGUAACGCGUGGGAAUCUACACAACCCUGCGGAAUAGCUCUGGGAAACUGGAAUUAAUACCGCAUACGCCCUACGGGGGAAAGAUUUAUCGGGGAUGGAUGAGCCCGCGUUGGAUUAGCUAGUUGGUGGGGUAAAGGCCUACCAAGGCGACGAUCCAUAGCUGGUCUGAGAGGAUGAUCAGCCACAUUGGGACUGAGACACGGCCCAAACUCCUACGGGAGGCAGCAGUGGGGAAUAUUGGACAAUGGGCGCAAGCC
This 353-nucleotide ribosomal RNA is filed under the name Francisella tularensis. RNAcentral describes it as "bacterial SSU rRNA". It matches the Rfam family "Bacterial small subunit ribosomal RNA", at positions 1 to 383 of the family's 1533-position model. The record is from RNAcentral. Lineage: Bacteria; Pseudomonadati; Pseudomonadota; Gammaproteobacteria; Thiotrichales; Francisellaceae.